ACGCCGCGNUGAAUGAUGAAGGCCCUUGGGUCGUAAAAUUCUGUCAUAUGGAAAGAAAUGCUUGUACGGCUCCUAUCUAUCAAGUUUGACCUAACUAUCUGCCGACGCCCCCGCUAAUUCCUUGCCGGCAACCGUUAUCCUAAUUUAGUGGCAGUCAUUGUUCUGAAUUACUGGCCGUAAAUCGCACGUAAACUGACUGUUCUCUCCUAUGUGAAAGCCCCUGACUCUGCCAUGCUUGUGCAUUUGAAACUAUAAUACUUUUCUAUUGGAAGCGGUGAUGUACUUCCAUGUGUAGAGGAACACUUCUGACAUAUGCGGAUGAAUACCCGUGGCCUAAGCCACAACCUGGACAACUAGUGACGCUAACGUGAUAAAACACGCUGAUCAUCCACGAUUAAAUCCACUGAUACUCCGCGCCGGAAACAACGACCCCUACUGGUUGGCAUGUUAAAUCAUCUCUUUGCCGCCU
Molecule: ribosomal RNA, 469 nt
Filed under: uncultured delta proteobacterium
Lineage: Bacteria; Deltaproteobacteria
Description: bacterial SSU rRNA
Rfam family: Bacterial small subunit ribosomal RNA
Source: RNAcentral